UGGAAGUAAAAAGUCGUAACAAGGUCUCCGUUGGUGAACCAGCGGAGGGAUCAUUGCUGGAACGCGCCCUAGGCGCACCCAGAAACCCUUUGUGAACUUAUACCUUACUGUUGCCUCGGCGCAUGCUGGCCCCCUCGGGGCCCCCUGGAGACAGGGAGCAGGCACGCCGGCGGCCAAGUUAACUCUUGUUUUUACACUGAAACUCUGAGAAAAAACACAAAUGAAUCAAAACUUUCAACAACGGAUCUCUUGGUUCUGGCAUCGAUGAAGAACGCAGCGAAAUGCGAUAAGUAAUGUGAAUUGCAGAAUUCAGUGAAUCAUCGAAUCUUUGAACGCACAUUGCGCCCUCUGGUAUUCCGGAGGGCAUGCCUGUUCGAGCGUCAUUUCAACCCUCAAGCAUUGCUUGGUGUUGGGGCACUGCUUUUAACGAAGCAGGCCCUGAAAUCUAGUGGCGAGCUCGCCAGGACCCCGAGCGCAGUAGUUAAACCCUCGCUUUGGAAGGCCCUGGCGGUGCCCUGCCGUUAAACCCCCAACUUCUGAAAAUUUGACCUCGGAUCAGG
Molecule: ribosomal RNA, 560 nt
Filed under: Diaporthe phyllanthicola
Lineage: Eukaryota; Fungi; Ascomycota; Sordariomycetes; Diaporthales; Diaporthaceae
Description: eukaryotic LSU rRNA
Rfam family: 5.8S ribosomal RNA (bases 230-383)
Source: RNAcentral